Molecule: ribosomal RNA, 428 nt
Filed under: uncultured bacterium
Lineage: Bacteria
Description: bacterial SSU rRNA
Rfam family: Bacterial small subunit ribosomal RNA
Source: RNAcentral
AUUGAACGCUGGCGGAAUGCUUUACACAUGCAAGUCGAACGGCAGCACGGGGCAACCUGGUGGCGAGUGGCGAACGGGUGAGUAAUACAUCGGAACGUGCCCAAUCGUGGGGGAUAACGUAGCGAAAGUUACGCUAAUACCGCAUACGAUCUACGGAUGAAAGCGGGGGAUCGCAAGACCUCGCGCGAAUGGAGCGGCCGAUGUCAGAUUAGGUAGUUGGUGGGGUAAAGGCCCACCAAGCCGACGAUCUGUAGCUGGUCUGAGAGGACGACCAGCCACACUGGGACUGAGACACGGCCCAGACUCCUACGGGAGGCAGCAGUGGGGAAUUUUGGACAAUGGGCGCAAGCCUGAUCCAGCCAUUCCGCGUGCAGGAUGAAGGCCUUCGGUUGUAACUGCUUUGUACGGUAACGAAACGGUUACUCUCU